UACGUAGGGUGCAAGCGUUAUCCGGAAUUAUUGGGCGUAAAGAGCUCGUAGGCGGUUUGUCGCGUCUGCUGUGAAAACCCGAGGCUCAACCUCGGGCCUGCAGUGGGUACGGGCAAACUAGAGUGCGGUAGGGGAGAUUGGAAUUCCUGGUGUAGCGGUGGAAUGCGCAGAUAUCAGGAGGAACACCGAUGGCGAAGGCAGAUCUCUGGGCCGUAACUGACGCUGAGGAGCGAAAGCAUGGGGGAGCGAACAGG
Molecule: ribosomal RNA, 254 nt
Filed under: uncultured bacterium
Lineage: Bacteria
Description: partial 16S ribosomal RNA
Rfam family: Bacterial small subunit ribosomal RNA
Source: RNAcentral